AAAAAUAACAAAUUAAGACUAAAUUAAAAUUGAACAUAAAAUUAUACGGAUUAUUUUGCAUAUGACAAGACCAUUAAUAUUUAUUUUUGUAGGAAAUAUUGUUUUAUUAUUAUUAUUAUACAAUAUCCCUUUUAGAAUGGGAAACCAAGCUUUAUAAAAUAUUUACUUCUUAUAUUUAGCUAAUUAUAGGUUGACUUAUUUCUUCUUAUAAUUUCUGUAACUAUGUUAGGAUAUUUUGUAUUCAUUACCAAAUAUCCUCAUUCUCUGAACAGUGCCUAUUUAAAGGCAUAGCUCUCAUGCAAUAAAAUAUUGAAGUCUAAUUUCCACAUGGUAUCAGAGAAAUCCCUUUUAGCCUAAAAAUUUCAAAAUUUUUUUUUCUCAACCUUCUUUUCCCCAUGGCUUCUCUACCUGAUACUACCCUUUCAAAACAAACCGCCCCCACUACUUCCAUCACCUCUGAUGAUACUUCAGUCGAUUCUUCUAUCAUCAAAGCUCUCUUUGAUGCCUUUCCCACAUCAUUUGAUCAUCAAAACUCCCUCCAAAUCACUAUCCAUAAAACUGAAUGGCCAGAAUUUUCUGCAAUGGUCCUAAUCUGAAGAUAUAUCUCUGUGCUUGGGGUAUCUCACUGGUGCUAUCGCUACGCCUGUUGCUACCGAUCCUUCCAUGCCAAAUGUGACUCUGAAAACUCCCUCAUCAUGGCUUGGCUCAUCAACUCCAUGGAGGUUGAUAAUGGUAAGACCUAUUUAUUCCUUCUUACUACUCGUGAGGUGUGGGAAACUGUUCAGGAGGCCUUCUCGGAUUUGAAAAGUUCGGCUCAAGUCUUUGAAGUCAAAUCAAGGCUUCGGGACCAGCGACAAAAUUCCCUUACGGUAACUCAACAUUAUGCCUGAACCGAGACCUUGAUAAGUUGCGUGAUCGUCUCUUGGGAAAAAAUCCUCUUCCCACCAUCCGAGAGGCUUUUGCUGAGGUUCGAAGGGAGGAGAGCAGGAAAAGAGUCAUGAUGGGACUCCCAAUCACUGCUGAAAAUGACCAAUCUGCUCUUGCUGCCUGACGCUCUAAUGAUGGUGAUGGCACUCAUGGGAAUCGUUGUGCACGCCCCCGGUGCUGCCACCGCAAUAAGGUUGGUCAUACCAAGGAGAAGUGUGGGUAAUUCAUGGUAAAUUUGCUGAUUGGAAGCCUCGUUCCUCAACUCAUUCCAAUUCCGACAGCUAAGCCUUGACUGCUGCACCACCCAAGCCUUUUCUAUUUACUCCAGCUCAAAUUACUCAACUCCAUCAGCUUUUGAACAUUGCUUCUGCAUCUGAUCCUUCAUCUGCUGCCUUCAAUGUUCAAAAUUCUGCUUGGAUUGUGGACUCAGAGGCCUUGGAUCACAUCCAAUCAGUUCACCACUUACACACCUUGCCCAGGAUAUGUCCUUGAGGAAGACGAUUGGGAAUGUGAAGACAUGUAGUGGGCUGUAUUACUUUGAUCCAUUUCCUCCUGCUCAAGUGAAUAAAGUUUCUGGUUGUAUUUCUUCUAGUGACAAUGAUAUUAUGCGGUGGCAUUUUAGGCUAGGCCACCCUAGUUUUCAUAUUUAAAAUAUUUAUUUCCUAAGUUGUUUUGAAAUAAAAACUUUAGUUUAUUUAAAUGUGAAAUUUGUCAAUUUGCUAAGCAUACAUGUGCUGUUUUUCGCCCUAUACCCUACAAAUCAACGCAACCUUUUACUCUUAUUUAUAGUGAUAUAUGGGGACCUUCUAGAAUAACAAAUACUACAAAUACAAGUUGAUUUAUCACUUUUAUUGAUGAUCACACACGUGUUAGUUGGGUUUCUCCUUAAAAAUAUAUCUGAUGCUACCAUGACAUUUAAAAAAUUUCACUCCAUGAUUAAAACCCAAAUCAAUGCAAAUCUUCAAGUCUUACACAGAUAAUGGAACUAAAUGUUUUAACUCAAUCUUGGGUGAUUACCUUCUCUCUCAUGGCAUAGUUCACAAAAGCUCAUGUGCAGGCACACCCCAACAAAAUAGGAUUGCUGAGCGCAAAAAUAGGCAUUUAUUGGAAAUUGCUAAGGCCCUCAUGUUUACAAAUUCUGUCCCCAAACAAUUAUGGGGUGAGGCUAUCCUUACCGCUGUCUUUCUCAUCAAUAGAAUGUCAUCUCGAGUGUUAAGAUAUCACACUCCACUCUCUAUGCUUCUUAAAACAUAUCCACAUACACCACUUGUUUUUAAUCUUCCCUUAAAAACGUUUGGAUGUAUCUCUUAUGUUCAUGUCCUUGGUCCAAAUUAUUCUAAGUUUGAUCCCCGAGCUCUCAGGUGCGUUUUUUUGGGCUACUCUUUUACCAAAAAAUGGUACAAGUGCUACCAUCCCUCUAGCCUCUACUCGUCGUAUGUACGUCUCCUUAGACGUUACAUUCAAUGAAGAGCAGCCAUUUUAUCCCAACUUUUCACUUCAGGGGGGACGGUGAGUGGCGUUUCUAGUUGGGAUGCGUGUCUACCUAAGGCUACUCUUGAAAUUGCUAUUCUUGAAAUUUCAGAAUUUACAAGCUCUUCUGAGCAACAAUCUUAGCUGCCCAAAACUAAGGAACUCUUAGUUUCCUCUCGUCGACAAAAAAAAUCAUCAAGUAAUACAGCUGAUUACUACUCCAACGUCUCAUGAGUUUGACUCACAGACUACUCCUGAUGUAAGUAAUCAUUCUCCUAACCCUAUUGUACCUACUGAUGUUCCUAAUAUUGACUCUUCCAGUAUGGUGGAACCCGAAUCUGAGUUACCAAUUGCCAAAAGAAAGGGAGUUCGGUCUCAAGAAUUUGGAUGACCAAUUCUUGAUGUAGUGGAUGACUCAAGAAUUUGGUCUCCUGGGAUUAAUGGUAUUUUCUCUUGUAAAAGUGCCUUUCAAAGUUUAGUCUCAUACGAGUAUAAUUCACAAGGAAAUUGGGCUAAGUUGGUGUGGAAAGGUUGCGCUCCAUCUAGAAUCAAAGUUUUUGGUUGGCUGUUAGCUUUGGAAAAAGUAAACGUUCAGGAGAUAAUGCAAAAGAGAAGACCUUUCCAGGUGUUGUCUCCGGGUUGGUGUGUCUGCUGCAAGAAUGCUGAUGAAUCUUUGUCACACCUAUUUCUUCAGUGUCCUUUUAGCCAAGGUCUAUGGAAUAGAUUACUGAGAGAAUUUGGAUUAAGCUGGUGCAUGCCAAAGAAAUGUGCUGAUCUCCUGUCUUGCAAGAUAGAUGGGGGGAAGAAGUCUGCUAGAUUAUGGACAGCUACUGUAUUGGCUAUCCUUUGGGCAAUAUGGUUAGAAAGGAAUGGCAGAAUUUUUGACAAUAUAGAAAAGAAGAGUGUAGAGGUGUGGGAUAAAGUUAAAUUUUGGGUUGCAACAUGGGUCUAUAGGACAAAAUACUUUAAAAACCUUUCAUUUCAAGAUCUCAAUAGAGACUGGGGCUGUAUUUUAUCCUACGAUAGUGACCAUGAUUAGAAUCGUAUCUUAUGUAUAACUUGUACUUAUGUUCUAGGUAUUGGUUUUUCUAUGUAAUGAUCCAUGUUUUCCUCCGCCUUAAGUGAGGGUUUCUAAUGAAAUUGGGGGUCAAUCAUUGAUUGACCUUGUCUCUUUUUCACAAAAAAAGAAAGGGAGUUCGAAGUUGCACUCAACAUCCAAUGUCGAGAUAUGUCUGCUAUAGUAGACUAACUCCACACUAUAAAGUUUUUCUAGCAAAAGUCGAGCAAGUGGUGGUUCCCAAGAAUAUUACCGAGGCUCUCUUACAGAAGGAAUGGAAGAAAGCAGUGUAUGAAGAAAUUGAGGCACUGGAAGCCAACACUACAUGGACAAUAAUCAAUAGGCCUAAAACUAAUCAUGUGAUGGGCUAUAAGUGGGUGUUUACAGUUAAACACAGGGCUGAUGGAACAAUAGGCUAGUAUAAAGCGCGUUUUUGGCCAACGACGUGAGAACGUCAAAAAUGACAAACCUUCAAGAGAAAUAAAACGACACAGACGGUUUUUGAACAGAAAGUAAAUAACACGCAAUUUUUAUAGUGGUUCAGCCCCAAUAUGUUGGUAAUAGCCUAAUCCACUUAGAGUUGUGAUUAUAGAUCUGUACUCAAGAUCAGAUGAACUGAGCCAACUGAGUUUCUUCAGUACUGAUUACAAGAAUACAAGAAUUCGUUAUGAUACCAGCACUUUCUCUCUCUAGAAAACUCAGACCCAAAAUUUCCCAAAAGUCCCUCCCAAGAAGAGGAAGCCCUUUUCUGAUCCCAUAAGCCAUAUAUUUAUAGGCUUAGGAUCAUACAUCUGAUAUCCCCUGAAUCGGGAUAUUUUAUUAUAUUUAUUACAUUUAAAUUACAAAAAACAUUCAAAAUGUAACAAAACCCCCAAUUUGUGAGAAGAAUGAGAGAUUCCCGCGCGUGCCAAGACCGGUUCUUGUUGAAGCCGUUUCUGGGAAUCUUGACUUAGUCCUCCUCUAUCUGGUCGACCCAUAUCUCCUACUGACCACUCAUGCAAGUGCUGGUCGGACACAUGCAUGCUGGACAUAUGCAAGUGCUGGUAGGACAUACACUUGCUGGUCGGACAUGUGCAUGGUGAUAGGACGUGCAUGCUGGUAAGACAUGCACUCCUCUCGCCUAACAUGGCACUCUCCUCUAGCAUGCCAUAUCUCUCCUCUAACAUGGCACUCUCCUCUCUUCGGACCAAGAUCCGACCACUCCACCUUGGGCUCUCCUCGGACCAAGAUCCGACCACACCAUUGGGCUCUCCUCGGACCAAGAUCCGACCACCACCCUUGGAGUACUCCUCGAACCAAAGUCUGACUGGGCACACCCUAGCCCAAGUACUCUCCUCGGGUGCACUUGGCUUGGACAUGCCACCUCUCAAGCAGUCCAAACUCUUCCCUGAUGCACUGGGCUGCUGCUAAGCCAGAUCACCCAACUACUCCAUGCCACUAGCCAUUUCUAUUGCCACAUCAUCAUUUUCAAAUUUUGAGGAUAACAUAAAGCAAGACUAGUUGCAAAAGGGUUCACUCGUAUAUAUGAUGUAGACUACAAUGAGACGUUUGCUCUUGUCGCCAAAUUAAAUACAAAAUGGGUUCUCCUAUUAAUUGCUGCCAAUCUUGAUUGGCCCUUAUAGUAACUAGACAUAAAAAAUGCUUACCUUAAUGAACAUUUGGAAGAAGAAGUGUUCAUGAUAAUUCCUCCAGGGUUCGAAGGAAGAUAUGGAACAAUGUCUGUCAUCUGAAAAAAUCCCUCUAUGGCCUAAAGCAAUCCCCAAGGGCGUGGUUUGAAAGAUUUAAUUAGGUGAUAAGAAAGCAUGGAUAUAAACAGGCUCAGUCAGAUCACACCUCACUCACAAGAGGGUAAGGUUACUAUCCUCAUCGUCUAUGUUGAUGACAUGAUAAUAUCAGGUGAUGAUUGUAGCGAACAAGAAAGACUGAAAGGUGUGCUAGCCCUAGAGUUUGAAGUAAAAGAUCUCGGAUCGAUGAAGUACUUUCUUGGAAUGAAGGUUGCAAGAACGAAACAAGGUAUUUCAGUAUCUCAGAGAAAAUAUAUUCUGGAUCUUCUCAAAGAAUUUGUAAUGUGGUUGUAAACCAGUGGCGACACCGGUUGAACCAAAAGGCAAGUACAAACAGGUGACAAAGAGAUGUAUACACGGUUAGUAGGCAAACUGAUCUAUCUAUCUCACAAGACCUAACAUUGCAUUUGCUGUGAGCUUAGUCAGUCAAUAUAUGCACAAUCCUUUAGAAGAACACUUGGAAGAUGUGUACAGAAUCCUGCGCUAUUUGAAGAAAACAGCAAAGACUGGAUUAUUGUUCAAGAAGAAUGAAGAAGGUGUUGAGGCCUUCACAAAUGCGGAUUGGGCAAGGAUCAAUUGAGGAUAGAAGGUCAACUACUGGAUAUUGUACUAAAGUUUCGGGGGAACUUAGUGACUUGGAAAAGUAAGAAGCAACCGAUAGUAGCUCGAAGUAGUGCCGAAGAAGAACUUAGAGCUCUCGCUCAGGGAGUAUGUAAACUGAUCUGGAUCAAGCGCAUACUUGAAGAGUAAAAACUCCAAAGAACUAAGCCUCUGAAGUUGUAUAGUGACAGGAAAUCAGCAACCAGCAUAGCACAUAAUCCAGUUCAUCACGACAAACCAAGCAUGUAGAAGUGGAUAGACACUUCAUUAAAGAAAAAAUUGAUGGAAGGGAAUUAUGUGUUGUUUACAUUCCCAGUAAGCAACAACAGUCAGAUAUACUGACUAACGGUUUAUCUAAAGAAAAUUUUAAUGAGUUAGUUUGCAAGCUGGGCAUGUGGAAUCUCUAUGCACUAGCUUGAGGGAGGGUGUAGGAAAUAAUGUUUUAUUAUUAUUAUACGAUAUCCUUUUAGAAUGGGAAACCAAGCUAUAUAAAAUAUUUAGUUUCUAUAUUUAGCUAAUUAUAGGCUGACUUAUUUCUUCCCAGAAUUUCUAUAAUUAAGUUAGAAUAUUUUGUAUUCAUUACCAAAUAUCCUCGUUCUCUGUGUCUUUAAAUUUAAAGGCAUAACUCUCAUUCAAUAAAAUAUUGAAGUUUAAUUUCCACAUUUUUUAUUAAUUAUGUAUAAAUUAUUAAUGAUAAUUAAAUGUUGUAACUUGGGAACAUGAUAUCAUGCACAAAAUAUAUAAAUAAACUCUUACAUAAUAGUUUGUAUCAUGGUGAACUUUUUUUUUUUUUGUCAUUUUUAUAUCCUCUCAUAUAUUGUCUCAUUCAACAAUUUUAAAGAAAUUUAAUUAAACUAACUUGUAAGACUAAUUUAAUAAUUAUACAAUACCUUAAUAUAUUAGUGUACAUAUGUGGUUUUUCUCAUACAUGAUGACACAAUUAUUAUCACAAAUAUAUUAUUAAAUAAGUGAUUUACCAAUUAAAACAAAAAAUGGAUAUAUAUAUAUGGAAAUAAAGUAAAACAAAAAAGAUAUCAAUGGAAAUAUUUAGAACUAAAUUGGUAACGACUCCAAAUAUAAAAAAGGAUAUCAAUGGAAAUAUGUACAUUGAUUAGACGAUUUUUUUUUCAAUUUAAAAUAGGCUCUCAGUAUAUUAGUAUGAUAUAUUCAACAAUUAAGGAAAAGUAAUAAACAUAUAGAUUGAUUGGUGCUAAUUAUUUGUUUUGUUAUUUGCUUGAAAUUAUGUAUUUAGUGAAAAAAGAAUCUAAUGUAAACAAAAAAUUCAUAAACUUGAUUUACUUUGGAUUAUAAUAUGUUUUCACUUUUCAAGCAUUGGCUGCGUAAAAGCAUGUUUUGCAUCUCAUGAAUAUUUUUGGUUAAGAAAAUCAUUGUAGUUUUUCUAUCUCAUCACUGGGUCAUCACAUUUUAAAAUAUUAGCUAAGAUGUUUUUUUUUGAAAGUAUGAUUUUAAAUAGGAUUAAUUAUUGUUUUUCUUUUCCUUUUUGAUUUGUUAUGUUUUUUCGU
Molecule: long non-coding RNA, 7361 nt
Organism: Humulus lupulus (European hop)
Lineage: Eukaryota; Viridiplantae; Streptophyta; Magnoliopsida; Rosales; Cannabaceae
Exons: 3
Source: RefSeq, a predicted model, not a curated record